GCCUGGCUGGCUCAGUCAGUAGAGCAUCUGGGACUCUUGAUCCCAGGGUUGUGAGUUCAAGCCCCACAUUAGGUG
This 75-nucleotide transfer RNA is filed under the name Felis catus (domestic cat). It matches the Rfam family "tRNA". From Rfam's summary of the family: Transfer RNA (tRNA) molecules are approximately 80 nucleotides in length. Their secondary structure includes four short double-helical elements and three loops (D, anti-codon, and T loops). Further hydrogen bonds mediate the characteristic L-shaped molecular structure. tRNAs have two regions of fundamental functional importance: the anti-codon, which is responsible for specific mRNA codon recognition, and the 3' end, to which the tRNAs corresponding amino acid is attached (by aminoacyl-tRNA synthetases). tRNAs cope with the degeneracy of the genetic code in two manners: having more than one tRNA (with a specific anti-codon) for a particular amino acid; and 'wobble' base-pairing, i.e. permitting non-standard base-pairing at the 3rd anti-codon position. RNAcentral also lists the same sequence under 2 other names. The record is from Rfam by way of RNAcentral. Lineage: Eukaryota; Metazoa; Chordata; Mammalia; Carnivora; Felidae.